AACGAACGCUGGCGGCAGGCCUAACACAUGCAAGUCGAGCGCCCCGCAAGGGGAGCGGCGGACGGGUGAGUAACGCGUGGGAACGUACCCUUUGCUACGGAAUAGCCCUCGGGAAACUGGGAGUAAUACCGUAUGUGCCCUUCGGGGAAGAUUUAUCGGCAAAGGAUCGGCCCGCGUUGGAUUAGGUAGUUGGUGGGGUAAUGGCCUACCAAGCCGACGAUCCAUAGCUGGUUUGAGAGGAUGAUCAGCCACACUGGGACUGAGACACGGCCCAGACUCCUACGGGAGGCAGCAGUGGGGAAUCUUAGACAAUGGGCGCAAGCCUGAUCUAGCCAUGCCGCGUGAGCGAUGAAGGCCUUAGGGUUGUAAAGCUCUUUCAGUGGGGAAGAUAAUGACUGUACCCACAGAAGACGCCC
Molecule: ribosomal RNA, 416 nt
Filed under: uncultured bacterium
Lineage: Bacteria
Description: bacterial SSU rRNA
Rfam family: Bacterial small subunit ribosomal RNA
Source: RNAcentral